GAUUUCAAUUGAAAAAGUCAUCAACAACAAAGUUGUAUAACUCAUCAAGAUCUAUAACUUUUAUUUUGGUUGUUUCUUCAUCCGACAAAGUGAUAGUAUCAUUGUUUACAAAAUUUACAUCUAUCUCAUCUGGUUCUAUAAACUAUAAGAGAGAGAUGUAAACUUUGUGAACAAUGUUACUAUCACUUUAUCGGAUGAAUAAAUGACCAAAAUAAAAGUUGUAUGUCUUGAUGAGCUCUACAACUUUUAUGUUCAUGACUUUUUCAUCUGAAAUU
This is a microRNA precursor of Oryza sativa Japonica Group (Japanese rice), 275 nucleotides long. It matches the Rfam family "MIR821 microRNA precursor family". The record is from Rfam. NCBI's taxonomy places the organism in Eukaryota, Viridiplantae, Streptophyta, Magnoliopsida, Poales, Poaceae.